GCAAGUCGAGGGGUAACAGGGAAAAGCUUGCUUUUUUGCUGACGACCGGCGCACGGGUGAGUAACGCGUAUGCAACCUACCUAUUACUGGGAGAUAGCCCAAGGAAACUUGGAUUAAUACCCCAUGGUACUAUAAAGCAACCUUGUUUAAUAGUUAAAGAUUUAUCGGUAAUAGAUGGGCAUGCGUGACAUUAGCUAGUUGGUAAGGUAACGGCUUACCAAGGCUACGAUGUCUAGGGGACCUGAGAGGGUGAUC
Molecule: ribosomal RNA, 255 nt
Filed under: uncultured bacterium
Lineage: Bacteria
Description: partial 16S ribosomal RNA
Rfam family: Bacterial small subunit ribosomal RNA
Source: RNAcentral